Non-coding RNA from Myotis brandtii (Brandt's bat), 73 nucleotides. The record is from Rfam. NCBI's taxonomy places the organism in Eukaryota, Metazoa, Chordata, Mammalia, Chiroptera, Vespertilionidae.
CUUGGCAGGGAGGGUCCCUCAGCCCGGAUUGUGAGAGGGUGCAGGCCAGGCCAAGGGACCCUGCUGGUGCAUG